UACAGAGACUGCAAGCGUUACUCGGAUUCACUGGGCGUAAAGGGAGCGCAGGCGGAUCGGUGUGUUGGAUGUGAAAUCCCGGGGCUUAACUCCGGGGCUGCGUCCAAAACUGCCGAUCUAGAGAUUCGGAGGGGCUAGUGGAAUUCCUGGUGGAGCAGUGAAAUGCGUAGAUAUCAGGAGGAACACCAACGGCGAAGGCAGCUAGCUGGACGAAAUCUGACGCUCAGGCUCGAAAGUAUGGGGAGCAAAAAGG
Molecule: ribosomal RNA, 253 nt
Filed under: uncultured bacterium
Lineage: Bacteria
Description: partial 16S ribosomal RNA
Rfam family: Bacterial small subunit ribosomal RNA
Source: RNAcentral